This 409-nucleotide ribosomal RNA is filed under the name uncultured bacterium. RNAcentral's name for it is "bacterial SSU rRNA". It matches the Rfam family "Bacterial small subunit ribosomal RNA", at positions 354 to 777 of the family's 1533-position model. The record is from RNAcentral.
GUGGGGAAUAUUGGGCAAUGGGCGCAAGCCUGACCCAGCAACGCCGCGUGAAGGAAGAAGGCUUUCGGGUUGUAAACUUCUUUUGUGAGGGACGAAACAAAUGACGGUACCUCACGAAUAAGCCACGGCUAACUACGUGCCAGCAGCCGCGGUAAUACGUAGGUGGCGAGCGUUAUCCGGAUUUACUGGGUGUAAAGGGCGUGUAGGCGGGACUGCAAGUCAGAUGUGAAAACCAUGGGCUCAACCCAUGGCCUGCAUUUGAAACUGUAGUUCUUGAGUGAUGGAGAGGCAGGCGGAAUUCCGUGUGUAGCGGUGAAAUGCGUAGAUAUACGGAGGAACACCAGUGGCGAAGGCGGCCUGCUGGACAUUAACUGACGCUGAGGCGCGAAAGCGUGGGGAGCAAACAGGA